GCGCGAGCUGGGCACGUUGGUGAGCCCACCCGGCUGUAAACCGGACGCCUCGGCUGUGGCGGUUCGACUCCGUCCUCGCGCA
Molecule: transfer RNA, 82 nt
Filed under: Nonomuraea angiospora
Lineage: Bacteria; Bacillati; Actinomycetota; Actinomycetes; Streptosporangiales; Streptosporangiaceae
Description: tRNA-Tyr
Rfam family: tRNA
About the family: Transfer RNA (tRNA) molecules are approximately 80 nucleotides in length. Their secondary structure includes four short double-helical elements and three loops (D, anti-codon, and T loops).
Source: RNAcentral